UAUAUUGUCUCCACCCCCUUCCUCUUGCCACCUAUACCCGCUCGACUACAUCAGUUCUCUUUAAUUUAUGCUCCAGCGGCCUAGACAAUUCACACCGUGUUGUGGUGGUGAGCUGCGGGUUUUCCCUGCUGUCUGAAAUGUGCUUUCUCACAACCGUAGGUGUAGCAUGAAGCGACAAGCGGGAUUUUUCCAGCGUCUGAGACAUCCAUCUUUAAGUUUGUAAAAAACACAGAUAGUUUAGGAGACGGUGUAUUUAAGUAAGGAGCGAACGGUUAAGGCCUCUUAUCUUUGAGGUGGAAAUAAUUUGGAGAGUAAUAUUUCCCCUAGAUUCUGAUUCAUUUAGUUAAUGAACAACUAAUAUUUAUUGAGCAUGCACUCUGACCCUGACACUGUUUGGGGCUAGAGGAGUCAUUGUUAAGUAAGAAUUUUAAGAUCUCUGUCCUCAUGAAUCUCUCUCCACUCUGGAAGAAUUUUACUUAGGAAGCUAUAAAUCGGCUGUCAGAAGGGUAUCAUUGACGUCUUCCCCAGGGACUAGUUCUUCUACGUUACCAUUUAGUACACGCUUGCUUUUAAUUCAAGAAAUAGAAACCUUGUGGUCUGGAACUUCCGAUAGUCUAAAAUUGUUUGUCUUAAAUUACCUGUUUCAUUUACCUCCUGUUAAUUUUUUGCCACAUUUUACUGUCAUCUAGAUUGCCCUUAUUCCUCCUAGUAUCUUAUUCUUCUCUAAUUUUCUCCUCUUUUACAUGAUUAUUUUUCAUGUAUUUCUGAGGUGUCAGACAUCUGGAGUAUGGUUGUCAUAAAUUUUAUGUAUUUUAUUUUUGAGAAGGAGAGAGAAAGCACGAGUGAGGGAGGGGCAGAGAGAGAGAGGGGGAAAGAGAGAGAAUCUCAAGCAGGCUCUGUGCUGUCAUCAUGGACCCCCGUGGUCCCCGAGAUUAUGACCUGAGCUGAAAUCAAGAGUCAGAGGCUUAACCGAUUGAGCCGCCCAGGCUCCCCGAGGAGUAUGAUUAUUAUAAAAAAUAUAUUGCCAUGGCAUCUAAUACCAUCUAAGCUAUUAAGAUCGACACAAAAUGAAGCCAGAAUGUCUGUGCGUGGUGCGUGGUGACUUAAAGAGGGGAUCAAAAUAUCAGUCUUGUUACCAAUCUUGCUGCCACAAUUUUUGUCAUUAGUACCUCUUCUUUAAGGACAAUCUGUUUUCAAAAGAAAGGCUUUGUGAAAGUAUUAUGCUUAGAUGGGUUGGCAAUUCUCAUCGACUGUGGCUAAGUUAGGUUAACUCUUAACCUAAGACGUUAAGAGUUACACGUUGGUCUUAAGGGUUCUCUUUGCUUCCACUCUCAGUCCAUUUCCUGGUAUGUUUUCCACACAACAGCAAGAAGCGUUGUUUAAAGUUAAGUCCUAUCACUUUGUUGAGAUGUUCAUCUCCUCCCCACUCCUACCCGCAAAGCCUUCUUAUCAAAAUCACCAUAAAAAUCCAAAGACCUUCUUAUAGUUGAGAAGGUCUCUGAUCUAGCCCUUGGCUACGUCUCCUGCCAUUUUCCCUAUUAGUCACUGCCCUCUCCAACUGUAACCUCUGCUAUACCACAAAAAUGUCAAGCAUACUCCCACUUCAGAAUUUGUGCAUUUUCUCUGAAAGCUUCUUCUUUCAUCUGCUUGCAUGUCUCUCUCUUCCUUUAACUCAUUUCAUUUAUUAUUCAACUAUGAUUUGCCCAGAAAGGUCUUCAAUGUGCUUUCUAUAUGUAAAAUAGAACCUCACGCUCUAUGCCACCAUAUACCUUUAUCUUUCUUUAUAUCACAUGGUGACAGCUGACAUUAUAUCAUUGUUUAUCAUCUACUUUCCUUUCUAGACUAAGUAAGCUGCUUGGGGGCAAUAACUUUUUCUCGCUUACCCCCUCUGUGGCUCUAACACCUGACAUAACAACUGGAACCUAGUAUGUGCUUACUACACAGAGUUGUUGAGUGCAUGAAUAAAUAAAUAUGAACUAAUGAAAGAAUAUGUAUAAAAGCCAUAAAAGUUCCACGGGCGCCUGAGUGGCUCAGUCGAUUGAGCGUCCGACACCAGCUCAGGUCACGAUCCCACGGUUUGUGAGUUCCAGCCCCAUAUCGGGCUCGCUUGAGCUCUCUUUCUCUCAAAAGUAGAAUAAACAUUAAAGAACUGUAAAAGUUCCAGAAUACAGAGUGCCACUCAGGGAGGUGUGGAGGAUUGUAGACCACCACUGGGUAGCAAGGACACCCUUGAAUAUUACAGAUGAGGGAUGGAGGAGGCAAGUUGGGUAUUUAAGGGAAACAUCAGCUGCCUUCACUAAUUUCUUUGUGUUAAAACAACUUAGGUCCUCUAUUUAUUCUCCUAAAGUUGGGAGACCUGGGUUAAUGUCCACACCUUGGCACUGACUAUACACACUGUAUCAUGAAGAAUGUAUGGGGUCGAGACAGUGUAGGGAAAGCAAGAGGGACUUAAUUCCUGUGAAACUCCUGGUCUGGGCAAACGGUUGAAAGUUUCCAUACUCUUAGAGACAAAUACCUACUUCUGGGAAAGCAAACAAAUGAGAGAUAACAGCUGUUAGGGAGUAAUGGUAGUCUGGGCAAAAUUAGAAAUAACAACUUAAAACCUGCUUGCACAAGGAUUUCUGUUUUUCAGGAGCCCUGAAAGGAGGUGGACCAUGGAGAAAGUCAGCCUGUGAUUGUCUCAUGUCCGUUGAAAAGUAAAGACCACAAGAUAAUGACGGACAGUGGGUGAUCCUCUCCCAGGCUUGGAUGCUCAGUCAGGCUAUGGUGUUUGCCAGAAAUCAGUGAUAUUUCAGAACGUUGGAAGGUGACCCCAACCGGAACUCGUGUAUUUUUUGUCACUUCAAAGCACCUAUGGACAGUCCUUUGCUUUUCCAUACAAGAAUAAGCUUAGGAAUGUUUUGUUUCAUUCGAGGUCAGGCUGCCUACAGAUAUAGACCCUUUCCUCUGCUGCCUUAUUGCCAGGUACAUUAAAUACAGUAUAUGACAAGAGUUUAUUAAUACCGUACUGGGGUCAACAUCCGUACAAGUUCAUACAAUGGCCCCCAUGCAGAAAAAGGUUGAAAAGAAAGGCAGUAAGAAAAAGGAUAUGAUUACGGUGGAGGUUAAAAAGGAUAUCAGCAAGAAGUAUGAAUGAGGUAAGCAAGUGGCCGAAAUUGCAAGAUUUCAUAAGGAGUCUACGUCUGCAUCUCGUCUGCACAUGAGGAGGAGAAAAAGGCAGAAGACACCUUCACUUCAACUGACAUUAGGGAGAUGUGUCAAAUGUGGGAAACAGUACAAAAUUUUGUAGACAAGCACCACCUGAAUAAAGAGUAGCAGUGCAAGUGAUGAAUCGGUUUAAUGAUAAUGCAACGUCACAGUUCCGCGAAAUCCUCAAAAGGAGGCAAAAGCAAGUGUCGUUGAAUAGGUUCUUGUUAAAGUUGCAUGACAGGAAAAAAAUUCCCUUGAGCCAAUAGAUAGCAGUGAUUCUACGAGUGAUAAUGAAAAUUGUCCCACACGAUAACCCUCCUCCCUUGUCACGAAGGCUCACACCAGCCACAAAGGUUUUCAAAGAGAGACAAAGAGAGAGCAUGAAGGAGAGGGAAAGAGAGAGAGGGAAAGAGAGAAUCCCAGAGCCCGUGGGGGGCUCAAACCCACAAACCAUGAUAUCACGAUCUGAGCCAAAAUUAGGAGUUGGAGGCUGGACCCCCCGAGCUACCCAGGUGCCUCCUAAAAACUACAUUUUAGAAGAAUGAUUGAUGAUCCAGCAGUGCCGACUUGGUGGACCAUGUGGCGGUCCUGAGAGCAAAGACCAACAGAUCAGUAGAGGGAUUCUCACUGGCCGCCUCCGUUCUGCUUGCCAACUGGUGCCCCCUAGUGGUUGUGUGAGGUCUUAAACAAGAUCGGCUACUCUGGGUGCAUGAGAUCUGUGUGGAGAGCAGGUGCAGGCCUCUGGCUCUGGUCUUCUUGCAAAAAGCCUCCUUCCCUCACCACCGCCCCCCCCCCUCCCCGAACACCAUCACCAAAUCCCACUUUCCCAUCCAGUCAUUCGCCAAAGAGUUAUUAGGCACAAGGGAGUAGGCCCGUGAGUGAUGGCUGCUGGAAAUACAAACAUAAAAAUUACGGACUUUUUCCUGCUUCACGUGUUUUAUAAAUUAUUAUGUCUGAAAAAAAAAGGAGAGAUUAGCUCAGCAUAAAUUCUGUUACUGACCUUUGGUAUUUACUUUCUCAAUUAUUGGUUAUUACUCUUAAUUAUUUUACCUUUGAGACCUGGAACAUUAGAUAUUAAAUUGACGCCGAGCAAAUGAAUGAAUGCAUGUGUGGUAGAAACUGUUUUAGAGAAAACAGCUUUUAAUAUUCAGAAUACAGCUACCUGCUCCGUCUAUUCAGAGUUUAUUGACCAAGAGGAAAGACUUGGAUAUGCAAGCAAAAACAAGGAAAAGAGAACUUCACAAUUUCUUUUCUUUUCUUUAAAAUUUUUAAUGUUUAUUUUUUAAAGAGAGAGGGACAGACAGUGAGGGUGUAGGGGCAGAGAGAGAAGGGGACACAGAAUCUGAAAGAGGCUCCAGGCUCUGAGCCAUCAGCACAGAGCCCGACGCGGAGCUGGAACUCACAGACAGCGAGAUCGUGACCCCAACUGAAGCCGGGCGCUCAACCGACUGAGCCACCCAGGCGCAUCUCAUUUUCUAAAAUAUGUCUUCUUUUGACUUUAUG
This is a long non-coding RNA of Neofelis nebulosa (Clouded leopard), 4692 nucleotides long. RefSeq lists it as uncharacterized. Lineage: Eukaryota; Metazoa; Chordata; Mammalia; Carnivora; Felidae. The transcript is spliced from 4 exons. The record is from RefSeq and is a predicted model, not a curated record.